RNAcentral lists this long non-coding RNA (1189 nucleotides) under Malus domestica (apple). RNAcentral's name for it is "long non-coding RNA (MDOM_LNC004940)". The record is from RNAcentral. Lineage: Eukaryota; Viridiplantae; Streptophyta; Magnoliopsida; Rosales; Rosaceae.
AAAAGGACCGGCUGUUAAAAGGAGAAAAGGGGGGGAAAAUGAAAGGGGAGGAGACGUGAUGGCAGCAAGGAGAGGAAGGAAAAGGGAGUUGCGAAAGAGAAAAGGGGGGGGGGAAUGUUCUUUCACGUUCUUCCUGGCUUUGCGAGGAAAGAAAAAGAAACGGGGAGGAGGUGGCUCUUCCAUAGUUGUUGGAAGAAAAUCCUUCUUUCUUCAAGCAAAAAAUCAAAGAGAGAGGAGUUGGAGAACAUGAUUGUGAAGGAAGUAUUUAGAGAUUUGAAGGGUAAAUUCCUUGUUACUUCAUUAUCUUGAUUUUCAAAUUUAACUUCCUUAAGUCGAAUUGAAACUGCCAUGAUGUAUUGGAGUUCUUAGUUCUAUUUAGGGUUUCUAUCAUUCAGUGAACUAGUCUAAACAUGAAUUAGAGUUGGGUAAUUUGGAUUGGGUGUGUAGAUCAAAUUUCUUGAUCAAGGGUUUGGUUCAAAAGGUCAAUUUUUUGUUAAUUUUGAGUCAUGUUAGUUUUGGAUGUUGUAUACAUGAUUUAUGGACUACAUGGAAGUAUUUGGGAUUUGUUAUAUGAAUUGGAAGUGUGCUGUUACGUAAGUUGUAGAAAUGAUUUCGUUGCAAAGAAAACUCAAGUUUCGAGUAGCCUUCUUUGGCUCUUAAUUUCUAGGCCUUUAUGUGCUCCUUUGGAGAAAUUUUUUGUGUAUUGAAAGUACAUAUGUUCAUGAUCGUAACCCAAUUGUUUUCACUCCGUUCCGUUGAGUUUUGGUUGAUCAAAACCUUAUUUAAACUUGGGUUCGCGAGCUGCCAAGCAGCAGCAAGAAAACUGGGUUUCCAGUUUCAAGACUCUGUUUUUCUUUUGGUGUAACUUCCAAUUGAGAGCUCCGUUUUCUACAAACUUUGUAUGCUUUUAAAGUACAGAACACAAGCUUCAAAACCCAUAUAAUAUUACAUGAUUUGGUUUAGUUUUGAAUGUUCCAAACGGAGCCUAAACUUGGUCCAAUGGUGCUGUUUUCUGCAGAUUUUGUGGAGAAGCAGAGUACUGUUUUUGCCACACCUAGUUUCUUUCCAGAUUCCUUUCUAAUCUUCCUUACUACUAAUUGAGUGAUGGUAUUAAUGUCAAUUGUGAAUAUGAAUUGGUCUUAUAAAUAGGAUUUCUAUUGAAAUAUGAUAUAUAUAUAUAUAUAUAUAU